This is a non-coding RNA of Paramuricea clavata, 360 nucleotides long. The record is from the annotation of a GenBank genome assembly. NCBI's taxonomy places the organism in Eukaryota, Metazoa, Cnidaria, Anthozoa, Malacalcyonacea, Plexauridae.
UCGAUUUGUGAACCAAUCUCAACGUUAUUUUAACGUGGAUUCAACGUUGAAUUAUGGUUGACGAGAUUGGCAACCUAAUUUCAACGUUGUUUCAACGUCGAAACAGUAACGUCGAUCCAAUUUGCAUAGUCAACCCUUUUUCAACGUCUAUCCAACGUCUGGAAGGUCAUUUCCAACGUUGGAUAAACGUCAUUUUGCCCGCUGGGAUGUCAGUAGGGCCAUUCAGUAUACGACUAUAUACCAGCGAAAUAAGCCGUGGCUCGUCUUAUUUAAAGCACGAAAAAAUACUAUAUAUGUAGUCCCGUAUAAAUGUUCUUGUUCGCGACAUUAUUUUCGCUUGUAUAUAAACUCACAUCAGGC